GUAAGAGCUUUAAUCUUUUUUCGAUCAAUUUUCCUUUUUAUUUUGUGAAAAUGAGUGGUACCGAGGGUAAGAGAGCUGCGAGCCCACCUUCCGUCCAUAUUUUGUGGACCUCAGAAAGAGGCGAUGCGAUUAGACCAAGCGGACGAUCCAGCACAGCCAUCAUUCCGGUUACUGGUCCAGCUACCAGACCGAAGCGAGGAACGUCUUCGAGAAAGGAGAACCUGCCACUUGAUAAACUGCCGUCAAUCCUUAGAGAGAUUGAUCUCCAAUCUAUAAGUCAAGA
This 283-nucleotide unclassified non-coding RNA is filed under the name Hevea brasiliensis (rubber tree). The record is from RNAcentral. Lineage: Eukaryota; Viridiplantae; Streptophyta; Magnoliopsida; Malpighiales; Euphorbiaceae.